ACCCUUUAAUGUUUGAUGUUCUAACGUGGACCCGUGAUCCGGGUUGCGGACAGUGUCUGGUGGGUAGUUUGACUGGGGCGGUCUCCUCCUAAAGAGUAACGGAGGAGCACGAAGGUUGGCUAAUCCUGGUCGGACAUCAGGAGGUUAGUGCAAUGGCAUAAGCCAGCUUGACUGCGAGCGUGACGGCGCGAGCAGGUGCGAAAGCAGGUCAUAGUGAUCCGGUGGUUCUGAAUGGAAGGGCCAUCGCUCAACGGAUAAAAGGUACUCCGGGGAUAACAGGCUGAUACCGCCCAAGAGUUCAUAUCGACGGCGGUGUUUGGCACCUCGAUGUCGGCUCAUCACAUCCUGGGGCUGAAGUAGGUCCCAAGGGUAUGGCUGUUCGCCAUUUAAAGUGGUACGCGAGCUGGGUUUAGAACGUCGUGAGACAGUUCGGUCCCUAUCUGCCGUGGGCGCUGGAGAACUGAGGGGGGCUGCUCCUAGUACGAGAGGACCGGAGUGGACGCAUCACUGGUGUUCGGGUUGUCAUGCCAAUGGCACUGCCCGGUAGCUAAAUGCGGAAGAGAUAAGUGCUGAAAGCAUCUAAGCACGAAACUUGCCCCGAGAUGAGUUCUCCCUGAGACUUUA
RNAcentral lists this ribosomal RNA (624 nucleotides) under Salmonella enterica. Its description in RNAcentral is "partial 23S ribosomal RNA". It matches the Rfam family "Bacterial large subunit ribosomal RNA", at positions 2202 to 2824 of the family's 2925-position model. Lineage: Bacteria; Pseudomonadati; Pseudomonadota; Gammaproteobacteria; Enterobacterales; Enterobacteriaceae. The record is from RNAcentral.